GGUUAUCAUGGGGACGGGCCGGGCCCGGACCCCAUGAUAAAUAUUUUUAAGAGGUGGGACACGAGAUUCGAACUCGAGUCUCCAGAGUGGAAAGCCAAAGCGUUCCACGCCGCCAAUCCGGCGGACUCAAUAGGUGUAUUGAUCAGAUUCACAGGGUGGAAAUGCUUCGAAUUUUCAACAACAGAAUCUGGGAUCGAAUCCCACCAAAAAAUAUUUAAGGAUUUCGAGCUCGAUGUCUAUCCUCUUCUAAAAUUGGUUGUCCUUGGAAAUGUCACAUAUGAACUGAAAGACAUUGUUGUUAGCGAAUGAUGAAUCAGGAUAGAUGGAGAGAGAAUGAUGUUAAGAAAAUUUAAUUAUGGACAUAAUAUUUAAAAAUUGUAAUAUCUAUGAAUGUCUUUUAUUAGAAAAUAACUUUCUUUCUCGUAAGUUUUAUAAUAUACCUGUUAUUUAAUAUUUUCCGAUAAAAAUUUAUACUUAAAUCACAC
Molecule: long non-coding RNA, 485 nt
Filed under: Androctonus crassicauda
Lineage: Eukaryota; Metazoa; Arthropoda; Arachnida; Scorpiones; Buthidae
Source: RNAcentral